This 231-nucleotide ribosomal RNA is filed under the name uncultured bacterium. RNAcentral's name for it is "partial 16S ribosomal RNA". It matches the Rfam family "Bacterial small subunit ribosomal RNA", at positions 524 to 754 of the family's 1533-position model. The record is from RNAcentral.
UACGUAGGGUGCAAGCGUUAAUCGGAAUUACUGGGCGUAAAGCGUGCGCAGGCGGCUAUGCAAGACAGAUGUGAAAUCCCCGGGCUCAACCUGGGAACUGCAUUUGUGACUGCAUAGCUAGAGUACGGUAGAGGGGGAUGGAAUUCCGCGUGUAGCAGUGAAAUGCGUAGAUAUGCGGAGGAACACCGAUGGCGAAGGCAAUCCCCUGGACCUGUACUGACGCUCAUGCAC